AUGACACUAUUCUUGGGUGAUUGUGUAAACAGCAUCAUGUGCGUUCCUGACUAAAAUCGGAAAUGACACUAUUCUUGGGUGAUUGUGUAAACAGCAUCAUGUGCGUUCCUGACUAAAAUUGUGACAGUUAGGGGGUGCUAGAACUGGUAGCCCUUUAGGGCCCUGGGGAGGCUAUAAAUAAGAGUGGAAACCCUGCGGCCUUCCCCUUUUCCCCAAAGCCUGACUUGGAGUGUUUGGUGAGCAGACCUGCUAGCUACUGGUGUGAACCAAAAACCCAAUACCCUGGUAGAAGAGUGGAGUUUUGUGCUCACACACCUGAUAUCGUGUUUGAGCUUUAAAACUCUGGUUGUAGACCUGAAGUGCACUGUGAGAUUGGUGACCAGGAGUAGCGGUUUCAGGGAUAGCUGUUGGGAUGUCGCAUGACUGCAGUUGUGUGUCCCCGAGUAUGCAAGAAUCCAGGAGAGUAGAGUGAAGUGAGUUUAACAGUACCUGAUAGUCGGAGGUGUGUGUCCACGGGUGUCUUGACGCCAGUGUCUCAGGGAAGUCGACGGCAGCUUUAUGGACGGCGCAAGCUCAGCUGAUCUCCGGUUCUUCCUCCCGUUCUCCUUGAUGGUUUCGUGCCCGGCGGGGACCAGUUUGGCUUCGCCCCGGAAAGUGGACGCCUCCUCCCGCAUCCACCUGAGCAAACCCUCGGGGGUCUUCCGGCCGAUUUUCGCCUCUAUGUCUCUCAGGUCCGGCGAGUUCUCACAAGCAGCGCCAGCUUCGUCCAUCAUGGUCAUGGGCUGAUAACAACACAGAAGGAUUUUCCCCGGUGUUUUUUUAUUUUUCUUCUAAAAUGUUAUUUAUUCCUGGCGCCGUGACGUGUGUCGUCACAUGGCAGCCCAGCUGAGGCGGACUGCACCAGCCCGGAAAAAAACAACAGUCAGCAUCCAACAACGCAGCAAGAUAUAACGGAACAAGAA
Nerophis ophidion (straightnose pipefish) is the source of this 962-nucleotide long non-coding RNA. RefSeq lists it as uncharacterized. The record is from RefSeq and is a predicted model, not a curated record. NCBI's taxonomy places the organism in Eukaryota, Metazoa, Chordata, Actinopteri, Syngnathiformes, Syngnathidae. The transcript has 8 exons.